Molecule: ribosomal RNA, 253 nt
Filed under: uncultured bacterium
Lineage: Bacteria
Description: partial 16S ribosomal RNA
Rfam family: Bacterial small subunit ribosomal RNA
Source: RNAcentral
UACGUAGGAUGCAAGCGUUGUCCGGAAUUAUUGGGCGUAAAGAGCGCGCAGGCGGUUCAUCAAGUCAGAUGUGAAAUAGCCAGGCUUAACCUGGAGGGGUCAUUUGAAACUGGUGGACUAGAGUACAGCAGAGGAUAGCGGAAUUCCCGGUGUAGUGGUGAAAUGCGUAGAUAUCGGGAGGAACACCAGUGGCGAAGGCGGCUAUCUGGGCUGAAACUAACGCUGAGGCGCGAAGGCUAGGGGAGCAAACAGG